This 458-nucleotide ribosomal RNA is filed under the name uncultured bacterium. RNAcentral describes it as "partial 16S ribosomal RNA". It matches the Rfam family "Bacterial small subunit ribosomal RNA", at positions 339 to 795 of the family's 1533-position model. The record is from RNAcentral.
CUACGGGCGGCAGCAGUGAGGAAUAUUGCACAAUGGGGGUAACCCUGAUGCAGCAACGCCGCGUGUAUGAUGAAACUGCUCUGCAGCGUAAAGUACUGUUAAUCGUGAAGACAGGUACAGUUAGCAGCUGUAUAAGACUGUAGCGAUAGAGGAAGCUCCGGCUAACUCCGUGCCAGCAGCCGCGGUAAUACGGAGGGAGCUAGCGUUGUCCGGAUUUAUUGGCGUAAAGGGCAUGUAGGUUGGAUGAUCAGUCAGUUGUAAAAUCUUAUGGCUUAACCAUAUCAAGCAAUUGAUACUGCCAUUCUUGAGUCUGUGGGGGGUCGAUGGAAUACCUAGUGUAGCGGUGGAAUGCGUAGAUAUUAGGUAGAACACCAGUGGAGAAGUCGGUCGACUGGCACAGUACUGACACUGAUAUGCGAAAGCGUGGGUAGCAAACAGGAUUAGAUACCCCGGUAGUC